Molecule: long non-coding RNA, 207 nt
Filed under: Mytilus galloprovincialis (Mediterranean mussel)
Lineage: Eukaryota; Metazoa; Mollusca; Bivalvia; Mytilida; Mytilidae
Source: RNAcentral
AAAAAAAAACCAAUCGUCGCAAUGUGUGUAAACAAAUCUUUAACAGUAUACGUUUCACCUUCACACAUAGCUUGAACGACAGUUCAGGUAUGGUAAACCCCUUAAAAUACUAAGAAGGUCGGAAAAAAAUAACUUACUUCUUGAGCACACAGCGAGCUUAUUAGCAGCAAAACGGCAACUUGUGGACUAUAUCACACCAAACGGCAG